Molecule: ribosomal RNA, 253 nt
Filed under: uncultured bacterium
Lineage: Bacteria
Description: partial 16S ribosomal RNA
Rfam family: Bacterial small subunit ribosomal RNA
Source: RNAcentral
UACGUAGGUGGCAAGCGUUGUCCGGAUUUACUGGGCGUAAAGAGCGCGCAGGCGGUCGUUCAAGUCGCGUGUGAAAGCCCCCGGCUCAACUGGGGAGGGUCACGCGAUACUGAUCGACUCGAAGGCAGGAGAGGGUAGUGGAAUUCCCGGUGUAGUGGUGAAAUGCGUAGAUAUCGGGAGGAACACCAGUGGCGAAGGCGUCUACCUGGCCUGUUCUUGACGCUGAGGCGCGAAAGCUAGGGGAGCAAACGGG